RNAcentral lists this ribosomal RNA (133 nucleotides) under uncultured bacterium. Its description in RNAcentral is "partial 16S ribosomal RNA". It matches the Rfam family "Bacterial small subunit ribosomal RNA", at positions 355 to 502 of the family's 1533-position model. The record is from RNAcentral.
UGGGGAAUUUUCCGCAAUGGGCGAAAGCCUGACGGAGCAAUCUCGCGUGAGGGAUGACGGCCCAUGGGUUGUAAACCUCUUUUUUCAGGGAGGAAUAAAUGACGUGUACCUGAAGAAUAAGCAUCGGCUAACU